This is a non-coding RNA of Pelobates cultripes (western spadefoot toad), 301 nucleotides long. NCBI's taxonomy places the organism in Eukaryota, Metazoa, Chordata, Amphibia, Anura, Pelobatidae. The record is from the annotation of a GenBank genome assembly.
CUGUGGAAUAUGUUGGCACUAUAGGUAUGCUGGUAAUAUAAUAAUCCAGACAUUGAGAUUCAGUGAUUUUUGCCAGUUGCUCCAGCAAUAAUGAAUUAGAAAGAGGGAAACAGGAACAAGGGGUAAACAACGAAUGGAGUAAAGACAGAUGUUGUGAUCGGAGUUUCCAUAUAUAAUGGUCCAGUCCCUGUUCUAAUACAGAGGAACAAUGCAUUUACUAAAGCAUGAAUACAAAUUUACAUCUCGAUGAUAGACAGACAGACAGAGACAUAACAAUAUUAAAAAAAAAAAAUUAACAUCA